This 253-nucleotide ribosomal RNA is filed under the name uncultured bacterium. RNAcentral's name for it is "partial 16S ribosomal RNA". It matches the Rfam family "Bacterial small subunit ribosomal RNA", at positions 524 to 776 of the family's 1533-position model. The record is from RNAcentral.
GACGUAGGGCGCGAGCGUUGUCCGGAUUUAUUGGGCGUAAAGAGCUCGUAGGCGGCUUGUCGCGUCGAAUGUGAAAACUCGGGGCUCAACUCCGAGCUUGCAUUCGAUACGGGCAGGCUAGAGUUCGGUAGGGGAGACUGGAAUUCCUGGUGUAGCGGUGAAAUGCGCAGAUAUCAGGAGGAACACCGGUGGCGAAGGCGGGACUCUGGGCCGAUACUGACGCUGAGGAGCGAAAGCGUGGGGAGCGAACAGG